GACGAAGGGGGUUAGCGUUGUUCGGAAUUACUGGGCGUAAAGCGAGUGUAGGUGGUUGUCCAAGUUGGAUGUGAAAGCCUUGAGCUCAACUCAAGAAAUGCAUUCAGGACUGGAUGACUAGAGGACCGGAGAGGAUAGUGGAAUUCCCAGUGUAGUGGUGAAAUACGUAGAGAUUGGGAAGAACACCAGUGGCGAAGGCGGCUAUCUGGACGGUUUCUGACACUAAGACUCGAAAGCGUGGGGAGCAAACAGG
Molecule: ribosomal RNA, 253 nt
Filed under: uncultured bacterium
Lineage: Bacteria
Description: partial 16S ribosomal RNA
Rfam family: Bacterial small subunit ribosomal RNA
Source: RNAcentral